AUACAUAUAUUAUUGUAACUGUUAUUCCUAUACAUAUUUUACACGCACACACACACACACACACACACACACACACACACACACACACACACACACACACACACACACACACACACACACACACACACACACACACACACACACACACACACACACACACACACACACACACACACACACACACACACACACACACACACACAUACUUAACUUAACGUGACUGCUAUCCAUUGUCAAGGAAUCAGGAAAAGUAAUUUCACAACUGGAGAAACGUGCCAGCGAACAGAGAGAGAGAGAGAGAGAGAGAGAGAGAGAGAGAGAGAGAAGGUAAAGGUGGAGGAGAAGGUGGAGGAUAACGAGGUCGAGGAAGACAAGUGGAAGUGAAAGAAGAGGAAGGAGGGGGAGAGAAGGAAAGGAGGAAGAAGGACGAGUAGGAGGAGGAGGAGGAGGAGGAGGAGGAGGAGGAGGAAGAGAGAAUGUUCCUAUGCAAUAUAAGUAAACUGACGUGACUGUCUAGAUGUAGCAAGAUAGUGAAUCUCUCUCUCUCUCUCUCUCUCUCUCUCUCUCUCUCUCUCUCUCUCUCUCUCUCUCUCUCUCUCUCUCUCUCUCUCUCUCUCUCUUAGUAAAUAACGGGAAAAAGGAUAAACAAAUCGAGGAAUGGACAGGAGGAGAUAGGAAAUGAAGAGAAAGAGAGAGAGAAAAAGAAUAAAGGAGGGAGAGAGGAAUGUGAGGUAAUAGCAGAUGGGGGAAGAGAGAAAGACGGAUGCAUGAAAUGAAGGAAUUUUAAGUAACGGAUAACUGAGAGAGAGAGAGAGAGAGAGAGAGAGAGAGAGAGAGAGAGAGAGAGAGAGAGAGAGAGAGAGAGAGAGAGAGAGGAAUAAACAAAAGGAUGGAUUACGAAAGUGAAAAUAAGAAGCUUGAUCAUUUCAGAUAACAAAGAGGAUUUUGGUAAUGAUAAUGGUUGUUAUGAUGAUGAUGAUGAUGAUGAUGAUGAUGAUGAUGACGAUGGUGAUGAUGGUAAUAAUAAUGAUAAUAAUAAUAAUAAUAAUAAUAAUAAUAAUAAUAAUAAUAAUAAUGAUAAUAAGAAUAGUAAUCUAGGUACAUAACUAAUAUAAAUUGUCAUAACAUUAAUGGCAAUAACGCAAGAAUUACUUUUCUUUCAUAUAUAUUUCGUCUUUUUGUACAGUUUUUCCUCCCCUAGAUUACACGCGGCAAUUUAUUGUUAAUAUCUAAUUACAGUUUCUAAUUAAUUUAUGCACACUUUAAAUGCAUUAGUUAAAUAAUGCAACACAGCUAUCACUACAUCAUAAAUUACUACUUACAUAAUCUGCAUAUUAACUAAGAAAUAUCAUAGAGCUUCAAAAUAAAUAAAAAUCACGCAAUUGUUUAUCAUCCUAAUUGGGCUUCUUGUAUGAACGUCGCUACAGGUGAGGUGACGCCGCUCAGGUGAAGUCAUUACCCAGAUGAGUUACGUCAAAGAAAACAGGUGAGACGACUUAGUGAGUGAAGAUAAUUUAAUGAAAACUUGAGGUAAGAGGAAGUUAAGGAAUCGCGUUAAUAACACACAGGUGAUGAUAACCAGGUGAAUUUGGGAAAAGCAGACGAUAAGGAUAAUAAUGAUAAUCAUGAUGAUGAGUGGCUGGAUAAGCUGAUAUUGAAAGAUUAAACGAGAAUUUGUAAAAAAAAAAAAAUGUACUUUUAAUUGAGACAGUGAAAUAUUAAUGAUGUUGAUGGUAGUAGUAGUAGUAGUAGUAGUAGUAGCGGUAACAACAGCAUUUGUAAAUACGGCAGUAACAAUAACAAGAAGAAAAAAAAUAUGAAUAAGACCAAAAUAAAAGAUGAAAGGAGAGGAGAAAGAAAACAACGAAUAAAAAAAAUAAGUAAAUAAA
Long non-coding RNA from Scylla paramamosain (green mud crab), 1889 nucleotides. RefSeq lists it as uncharacterized. The record is from RefSeq and is a predicted model, not a curated record. The transcript has 2 exons. NCBI's taxonomy places the organism in Eukaryota, Metazoa, Arthropoda, Malacostraca, Decapoda, Portunidae.